RNAcentral lists this ribosomal RNA (243 nucleotides) under uncultured bacterium. RNAcentral's name for it is "partial 16S ribosomal RNA". It matches the Rfam family "Bacterial small subunit ribosomal RNA", at positions 109 to 353 of the family's 1533-position model. The record is from RNAcentral.
AGUAAUGUCUGGGAAACUGCCUGAUGGAGGGGGAGUAACUACUGGAAACGGUAGCUAAUACCGCAUAACGUCGCAAGACCAAAGAGGGGGACCUCGGGCCUCUUGCCAUCGGAUGUGCCCAGAUGGGAUUAGCUAGUAGGUGGGGUAACGGCUCACCUAGGCGACGAUCCCUAGCUGGUCUGAGAGGAUGACCAGCCACACUGGAACUGAGACACGGUCCAGACUCCUACGGGAGGCAGCAUG